UAGUCAGACUUAACAUUGAUUGAAGCAGCUGUUGGAGAGAAGGCACCAGUCAGACCUGCAAGCACCGGGUAGUAUGCAGCGGCAGUUUUCAAUCAUACAAUGUGUACUCUUAGUCUGACUUUUAGCGGUAGUCAGCUGUCCUCGUUCUCCUCUUUGAAUUGCCCUAUUGAGUAAGGGUCGGUGUUUGCAAAAAUGUCGAGCCGACGGGGUCAGGUACCAGUAGUGACAAUAGCAAAGGGGGGCUGGACACUAGUUGUGCGAGUGGAAUGACCCAACUGGACCUAGUCAAUGAGUAAGGGUUGGUGUUUGCAAAAAUGUCGAGCCGACGGGGUCAGGUACCAGUAGUGACAAUAGCAAAUGGGGGCUGGACACUAGUUGUCGAGUGGAAUGACCUAAGUGGACCUAGUCAGCCCGAACCGUUUUGCAGUUCUAGAGGAC
This 438-nucleotide long non-coding RNA is filed under the name Nicotiana benthamiana. Its description in RNAcentral is "long non-coding RNA (NBEN_LNC019240)". Lineage: Eukaryota; Viridiplantae; Streptophyta; Magnoliopsida; Solanales; Solanaceae. The record is from RNAcentral.